RNAcentral lists this long non-coding RNA (206 nucleotides) under Prunus persica (peach). RNAcentral describes it as "long non-coding RNA (PPER_LNC002390)". The record is from RNAcentral. Lineage: Eukaryota; Viridiplantae; Streptophyta; Magnoliopsida; Rosales; Rosaceae.
GGCGCUUUUUCAAUCCAAGCAUUCUUUAAUACAAACCAGGGUGAGGAAAGGAACAAAAACAGAAACUGGAUCGGCGUAUGUGUGAAUGCUGUAUUGUCAUGGUCUUUGUUUAGUUAGCAUAUUGUCUUGUUCUUGUUUUUGCUUGUAUAGUCUUUGUUCACACAUGUGAAUUUGUGAUUUUUUUUUUUAAGACUAUUAAUUAUUUU